AAGAGCCCAAACCAAAGAUUUAUCUUUGGGGUUGCGGACAGAACAUUAACGAGAAAUUAUGGUUAACCGAACACAACUGGAAAGUUGGACCGUAGGGGGUAAUAGUCCUGUAGGUGAAAAUUGUAAUAAUCAAGUUCUGAUCCAGAGUACCACGAGACACGUGAAACCUUGUGGGAAGCAGGGAGGACCACCUCCCAAGGCUAAAUACUACCUGAUGACCGAUAGUGAAGCAGUACCGUGAGGGAAAGGU
Molecule: ribosomal RNA, 250 nt
Filed under: Clostridium botulinum
Lineage: Bacteria; Bacillati; Bacillota; Clostridia; Eubacteriales; Clostridiaceae
Description: partial 23S ribosomal RNA
Rfam family: Bacterial large subunit ribosomal RNA
Source: RNAcentral